CCUACGGGAGGCAGCAGUGAGGAAUAUUGGUCAAUGGUCGGGAGCCUGAACCAGCCAAGCCGCGUGAGGGAUGAAGGUACAGAGUAUCGUAAACCUCUUUUGUCAGGGAACAAAGGCGGGGACGUGUCCCCGGAUGAGUGUACCUGAAGAAAAAGCAUCGGCUAACUCCGUGCCAGCAGUCGCGGUAAUACGGAGGAUGCGAGCGUUAUCCGGAUUUAUUGGGUUUAAAGGGUGCGCAGGCGGUCUGUUAAGUCAGCGGUCAAAGCCCGGGGCUCAACCCCGGCGCGCCGUUGAAACUGGGAGUCUCGAGUUGGAGAGAAGUAUGCGGAAUGCGCGGUGUAGCGGUGAAAUGCAUAGAUAUCGCGCAGAACUCCGAUUGCGAAGGCAGCAUGCCGGCUCCACACUGACGCUGAGGCACGAAAGCGUGGGUAUCGAACAGGAUUAGAUACCCGAGUAGUC
RNAcentral lists this ribosomal RNA (459 nucleotides) under uncultured bacterium. RNAcentral's name for it is "partial 16S ribosomal RNA". It matches the Rfam family "Bacterial small subunit ribosomal RNA", at positions 338 to 795 of the family's 1533-position model. The record is from RNAcentral.